RNAcentral lists this ribosomal RNA (468 nucleotides) under uncultured bacterium. RNAcentral's name for it is "partial 16S ribosomal RNA". It matches the Rfam family "Bacterial small subunit ribosomal RNA", at positions 28 to 507 of the family's 1533-position model. The record is from RNAcentral.
GACGAACGCUGGCGGCGUGCUUAACACAUGCAAGUCGAACGGAAAGGCCCUGCUUUUGUGGGGUGCUCGAGUGGCGAACGGGUGAGUAACACGUGAGUAACCUGCCCUUGACUUUGGGAUAACUUCAGGAAACUGGGGCUAAUACCGGAUAGGAGCUCCUGCUGCAUGGUGGGGGUUGGAAAGUUUCGGCGGUUGGGGAUGGACUCGCGGCUUAUCAGCUUGUUGGUGGGGUAGUGGCUUACCAAGGCUUUGACGGGUAGCCGGCCUGAGAGGGUGAGCGGCCACAGUGGGACUGAGAUACGGCCCAGACUCCUACGGGAGGCAGCAGUGGUGAAUAUUGCACAAUGGGCGGAAGCCUGAUGCAGGAACGCCGCGUGCGGGAUGACGGCCUUCGGGUUGUAAACCGCUUGCGCCUGUGACGAAGCGUGAGUGACGGUAAUGGGUAAAGAAGCACCGGCUAACUACGUG